This is a non-coding RNA of Malus domestica (apple), 4092 nucleotides long. The record is from RefSeq and is a predicted model, not a curated record. NCBI's taxonomy places the organism in Eukaryota, Viridiplantae, Streptophyta, Magnoliopsida, Rosales, Rosaceae.
UCCCAUUUGCCGUGAGACCAUCUCUGAACUUGAGUAGUGUGGGCUUCCGCCGCAAACACUCCGUUCAAGUGAUCCGCAGUGCACUCAGAUCCGAAUCAUCAGGACGCAGAAACCCCUUAUGAAGGGUUCAUAAAUAGAAAGGAAAGCAAGGCAGAAGCAUCAAAAAGUCGUGGAAACCGUCCAGCUGGAUGGUUUGAGGAGGAACUGGAUGGAUGGUUUGAGAAGAAACUUGAUGAGACGCCAGAUCGAGGUCAAGUCAAGUAUUUUUCUUUUCUCUCACUUAUUUUUGUUAGUAUAAUAUAAUUAAAAUAUAUUAGUGGCAUGCUGUUAUCUGUAUCUCAAUGUAAAUGAUGUUUUCGUGAAUAACUUUAGCAUUGUUUGGUUUUCUCUUAAUGCUUAUUUUAUAUAUCAUAUCCAUGUCUUCAUUUUUUUUAAAUUUGACGUAUCGCAAUGUCCAUGCAACAUAGCCUAGAACCAAUCUUUUCUCUCUGCCGUGUUCCUAGCUUUUCACCCCUCCUCGACGCACCCUAUUUAUAAGUGUAGGGUGCGGUUUACACUCAUAUAGUCUGAUUAGGUUUUCUAAUCUAUUUGGGAUUGGAAAGCACACUUGCAUUCUUAUUCCGUUUUUGCUUUCAGGAUUCUGAUUGUACAAGAAAAAUCUUUUUAGGACAAAAAUAUAUACCUUAGCUUUCCUAAUACGUUCUUAAAAUAAAAUAGGACUCUUUAACAAAAGACGAACCAAAUCAUAUGCAUGAAUUGAUGUGUUAGUUUGACAAAAAUGUUCUUCUAAAUUAAUUACCUUUUGUGUUGGAAAUAUGUUCACUCAGUACAUAGUUGUGUAAUUGAUUACACACACAUAAGUAUGUUUCAUUUGUCCUUAGUUGUGUAGUGUGCCUCGAUACAAUUUUGCAAUGAAACCAUAAACAAACAACUGACUUUCGGCACCUCAAUUUUCUAGGCCUCAAGUCAAACAAAGAUGUGGAGUAUUUUGACUCUCACGGAACCACUGUAAUAGUUGUGAUUUUCUAUGGAUUUGUUUUCCUUGAUUUGAUUCUAGGGGAAUCUACGAUAGGUAAAGUUUUGUAAUGUCAAAAUUUUUCCAAGUUUAUAACACAUCUUGUAUUGUAUUUAUUCAUUUCGUUUAUGUUUUAUUUUUCAGUUGAUAAGUGUGCUUGUUAAGUGUGUAAAGCUUGCGGGUAAUAUAUAUGAAUUAUUAGUGGGAAGAAUAAAAGAAUUGAAUGAAGGGGGUAAUAUAUAUGAAUUAUUAGUGGGAAGAAUAAAAGAAUUGAAUGAAGGGAUCCAAUAUUUUAGGGAGAAUGCUAGUGCAUGAAAUACCUGUGAAAACCCGCUUGAGUCUAUAACCAGACGGGUUGAAAUAUUUGUUACCUCUUUAACAUGACGGCGACCUUGCUUUCGUCAUAUGUGCGAUUACUUUAGGGGUAAGUUCGACAUUUACACAUGUGAUUUAAGUUUUAUCAUCUUUCAUUUUGUUUUUAUUUUUAUCUAUAUUGUAGGUUCCACAAAUCAUGUCUUGUUUAUCGAAAAUAACCCUGCAGAAACAUCACAUGUUACAGUAGGUGAUCUUCAAGAAGUUGUUUUAGGAUCUAGUGCAACAAUUGCUAGUAAGUAUUUGAAGACAAAUUUUUCAAAUAGUGCGGAGAUAAACGUGGUAAAAGAGAAUAUGACAUACUUCCUGCUUCAGGCUGCAAUAAGAGACAUCAGUACAAGGGGUAACCCAUUGCAGCCUGAAGAAGGAAGUAUGCCAUAUUCUCUUUCAACGCGUCUAUCUUCACGCUAUUUGAAAAAUUUGUCUUCAAAUACUUACUAGCAAUUGUUGCACCAGAUCCUAAAACAAUUUCUUGAAGAUCACCCACUGUAACACGUCAUGUUUCUGCAGGGUUGUUUCGAUAAACAAGAUAUAUGAUUUGUGGAACCUACAAUAUACAUAAAAAUAAAAACAAAGCGAAUGAUGAUAAAACUUAAAUCACAUAAGUAAAUGUCAAAUUUACCCUUAAGGUAACCGCACACAUGACGAAAGCAAGGUCGCCGUCAUGUUCAAGAGAUAACAAAUAUUUCAACCCAUGUCUGGUUAUAGACUUAAGCGGGUUUUCAGAGGUAUUCCAUGCACUAGCAUUCUCCUUAAAAUAUUGGAUCCCUUCAUUCAAUUAUUUCAUUCUUUCCACUAAUAAUACAUAUAUAUUAUCCGCAAGCUUUACACACUUACAAGCACACUCAUCAACUGAAAAAUGAAAUAAAUACAAUACAAGGUGUGCUAUAAACUUGGAAAAAUUUUGACAUUACAAAACUUUACCUAUCUUACGGAGAUUACCAUACUUUCUGGUUCCUCUAUAAUCAAAUGAAAACAUAGAAAAUCACAAUUAUUACAGUGGUUCCAUGAGAGUCAAAAUACUCCACAUCUUUGUUUGACUUGAGGCCUAGAAAAUUGAGGUGCCGAAAGUCACUUGUUUGUUUAUGGUUUAAUUGCAAAAUUGUAUCAAAACUAAGGACAAAUGAAAUAUACUUAUGUGUGUGUAUAUAUAUCUGUGUGUGCAUGUACUUAGUGAACAUAUUUCCAACACAAAAGGGCAAUUAAUUUAGAAGAACAUUUUUGUCAAGGUAACACACCAAUUCAUGCAUAUGAUUUGGUUUGUCUUUUGUUAAAGAGUCCUAUUUUAUUUUAGGAAAGCUAAGGUACACAUUUUUGUCCUAAAAAGAUAAGAUUUUUCUUGUACAAUUAGAUUGUGAAUCCUGAAAGCAAAAACGGAAUAAGAAUACAAGUGUGCUUUCCAAUCCCAAAUAGAUUAGAAGAUGUGUAAACUAAACCCUACACUUAUAAAUAGGGUGCAAAGUUAAGCAUAAAACAGGAACACGACAGAGAGAAAAUCAGAAUGAUUGGUUCUAGGCUAUGUUGCAUGGACAUUGCGAUAUGACAUUAGGAAAUAUUAAAUUAAAAAAAACGAAGACACGAUACGACAUGGAUACAAUAUUAAUAUAUAUAUAUAUAUAAUAUUAUAAAAUAAGCAUUAAGAGAAAACCAAACAAUGCUAAAGUAAUUCCCGAAAACAUAAUUUACACUGAGAUUCAGAUAAAAAUAUGCCACUAACAUAUAUAAUAUAUUUUAAUUAUAUUAUACUAACAAAAUAAGUGAGAGAAAAACAAAAAUCAGAGAAAAGAAAAAAACUGACUUGACCUGUAUCUAUCUCAAAAGCGUGGAGAUUGACGCGGUGAAAGAGAAUAUGGCAUACUCCCUGCUUCAGGCUGCAAUGAGAGACAUGGGUACAUUAUCCGUUGGAAUCCUUUCAGCUCAUGGAUUCAAGUUGUUGUCUGAGAUGACAACACUUGAAUGCAUUUAUGCGUUUUAUGAUGACAUGGAUUCAGAUGUUUUGAGCAGAUCCCUAUUUGUCGUCUACAAGCCGUCUAAAAUUUCUAAUCCUGUGAUGAAUUUUUGGUUUAAAUUGGGGGUCCUCACACAGAUUUAAACACAUGCAUGUGUUAGAUCUUGCUACAUUUCACAACCAUAACCAUAAAUCUGAAACGAGAAAAAAAAAAUAACAGACAUGGAGGAGGGAUUUACCUUCAUGCAUCUUAGCUUUGCACGCUUGUUCCACCAUGGAUGGGUUAGAGAAACACGGAUGAAGAAGCGGUUGUGAGAUGGAAGGUUUGGAAGAAUGGGCGUUGGGUGAGAGGUCCAGCGCCUUUCCUCAGUUCCAGGUCCAGGUUCGAACCGUGCCAGGUGUGUCCAAUUCCUUUUAUUUUAUUUUAUUUUGUCUUUUAUUUGUUAUUUUAUAUUUUUUUUCUGUUUUUAUUUUUCCUUUCCUGGUUUAUUUUGUUUGCCUUUGCUCGAUUUUUUAUUUAUUUUUAAAUUUGUUGUUCUAGGGAAUAGUCUUUUUAUUUUUUUUAUUUUUCUUUUAUUUUUCACACCUUGAGGACAAUGUGUGAUUUAAGUUUGGGGGUGGGAAAGUAGAAGUUUUAGGUAUUUUAAUUUUUGUGUCAGUUAAAUUUUUUUGUUUUUAAGUUAAUAUCCAUAGUUUAUUUUAAACGUUAAAACAAAUGUACAUCGUGAAGAUUAAUCCUACCGUAAAAUAUUUUCUA